Molecule: unclassified non-coding RNA, 418 nt
Filed under: soil metagenome
Description: partial contains 5.8S ribosomal RNA, internal transcribed spacer 2, and large subunit ribosomal RNA
Rfam family: 5.8S ribosomal RNA (bases 1-120)
Source: RNAcentral
GAUGAAGAACGUAGCGAAAUGCGAUAAGUAAUGUGAAUUGCAGAAUUCAGUGAAUCAUCGAAUCUUUGAACGCAUCUUGCGCUCCUUGGUAUUCCUUGGAGCAUGCCUGUUUGAGUAUCAUGAGCAAAUCUCAAAGUCAAUUCCUUUUGUUAAUUCAAUUUGGUUUUGCUUUGGACUUGGAGGUCUUGCAGAUUUCACAGUCUGCUCCUCUUAAAUGCAUUAGCUGGAUCUCAGUAAUUAUGCUUGGUUCCACUCGGCGUGAUAAGUAUCACUCGCUGAGGACACUGUUAAAAAGGUGGCCAGGAAAAUACUGAUUGAACCGCUUCUAACGGUCUAUUAAGUUAGACAAUUACCCUUAAGUUUGAUCUCAAAUCAGGUAGGACUACCCGCUGAACUUAAGCAUAUCAUACGCGGAGGA